This is a long non-coding RNA of Dermacentor silvarum, 697 nucleotides long. RefSeq lists it as uncharacterized. The transcript is spliced from 2 exons. The record is from RefSeq and is a predicted model, not a curated record. NCBI's taxonomy places the organism in Eukaryota, Metazoa, Arthropoda, Arachnida, Ixodida, Ixodidae.
AUGAUACAGUCGACGUCCGAUUUCCCGGACGCCCGAAAUUCCGGACAUGCCUGAUUUCCCGGACUCAUCUGUGGCACCGUCAAGUUCCCCAUAGAGUCAAUGUAUUAAAAAGUCCGAAAUUCCGGACGCUUAUAGCCUUCGCCAUCCGAUUUCCCGGACUUUUUACUGUUAACCGCCGACCGAAAGUCACCACCGACGCCGCCAUUUUGGCUGUUUUCUUAUCCUCGAACCCACCAUACUCGCAUCGCAGGUGUGGCCAGCAGCACCGCCGCACCGCGCCGCGGCUGCCGUAACCUCGAAACCGCACGUGUCAAUCCGUUGCCAGCCGUAGCUUAGCCAAGCCAAACCUCACUGUGUUCGUUCGCGUGUUGUUUUGUCAGCUCUGCCAGCUCUGCGGUCGUGUCUGCGGUUGAUCGUUUGCUGCUGCGCGCUAUCUUCAACCUCGAGCUAUGUGCGGAGUUGACCGAUGACGAAAUCAUUCGUCAAGUUACGGAGGAUUCCGACGACUCCGACACCGAGAACGAAGAGCCAGCUCCUACACAGCCAACGAGCUCGGAGUUGACGCGAGCACUGAUGACACUGUCAUCGGUGUACAGCGGCAACAUGACGUUGACUGAAAUUGAGGCAGACAUGAUCGCGGGCAAGCGGACCGUGCAAAAUAAAAUAAGCGACUUCUUUGCGCCCAAGUGCUGACCUA